GCCUCCCUCCGCCGCCACUCAGACUCCGUACGGGAGGCGAGCAGGUGGGAAGUAGUUGGACAAUGGGCGCAAGCCUGAUCCAGCAAUGCCGCGUGCGUGAAGAAGGCUUCGGUUGUAAGCACUUUAUCAGGAGCGAAAUACUACCGGUUAAUAACCGGUGGGCUGACGGUACCUGAGGAAUAAGCACCGGCUAACUUCGUGCCAGCAGCCGCGUAAUUC
RNAcentral lists this ribosomal RNA (219 nucleotides) under uncultured bacterium. Its description in RNAcentral is "partial 16S ribosomal RNA". It matches the Rfam family "Bacterial small subunit ribosomal RNA", at positions 307 to 526 of the family's 1533-position model. The record is from RNAcentral.